RNAcentral lists this ribosomal RNA (497 nucleotides) under uncultured bacterium. RNAcentral's name for it is "partial 16S ribosomal RNA". It matches the Rfam family "Bacterial small subunit ribosomal RNA", at positions 28 to 507 of the family's 1533-position model. The record is from RNAcentral.
GAUGAACGCUGGCGGCGUGCCUAAUACAUGCAAGUCGAGCGAACGGACGCGAAGCUUGCUUUUCUGAUGUUAGCGGCGGACGGGUGAGUAACACGUGGAUAACCUACCUAUAAGACUGGGAUAACUUCGGGAAACCGGAGCUAAUACCGGAUAAUAUUUUGAACCGCAUGGUUCAAAAGUGAAAGACGGUCUUGCUGUCACUUAUAGCUGUAUCCGCGCUGCAUUAGCUAGUUGGUAAGGUAACGGCUUACCAAGGCAACGAUGCAUAGCCGACCUGAGAGGGUGAUCGGCCACACUGGAACUGAGACACGGUCCAGACUCCUACGGGAGGCAGCAGUAGGGAAUCGUCCGCAAUGGGCGAAAGCCUGACGGAGCAACGCCGCGUGAGUGAUGAAGGUCUUCGGAUCGUAAAACUCUGUUAUUAGGGAAGAACAUAUGUGUAAGUAACUGUGCACAUCUUGACGGUACCUAAUCAGAAAGCCACGGCUAACUACGUG